Molecule: ribosomal RNA, 371 nt
Filed under: uncultured bacterium
Lineage: Bacteria
Description: bacterial SSU rRNA
Rfam family: Bacterial small subunit ribosomal RNA
Source: RNAcentral
GGAGGGGGCCAGCGUUGCUCGGAAUCACUGGGCGUAAAGGGCUCGUAGGCGGUCUGAUAAGUCCUGUGUGAAAUCCCUUGGCUUAACCAAGGAACUGCGCCGGAUACUGUCGGACUAGAGGCCGGGAGAGGGAAGCGGAAUUCCGAGUGUAGCGGUGAAAUGCGUAGAUAUUCGGAGGAACACCGGUGGCGAAGGCGGCUUCCUGGACCGGUUCUGACGCUGAGGGGCGAAAGCUAGGGUAGCAAACAGGAUUAGAUACCCUGGUAGUCCUAGCUGUAAACGAUGGGCGCUUGGUGUUGCGGGUAUCGACCCCUGCAGUGCCGAAGCUAACGCAUUAAGCGCCCCGCCUGGGGAGUACGGUCGCAAGGCUG